CCCUUAGAUGUUCUGGGCCGCACGCGCGCUACACUGACUGGUGCAACAAGUGUCGCUCCUUGGCCGAUAGGCCUGGGCAAUCUUUGAACGCCCGUCGUGAUGGGGAUAGAUUCUUGCAAUUUUUGAUCUUCAACGAGGAAUUCCUAGUAAACGCGAGUCAUCAACUCGCAUUGAUUACGUCCCUGCCCUUUGUACACACCGCCCGUCGCACCUACCGAUUGAAUGGUCCGGUGAACCCUCCGGAUCGGCUCGCGCCAACGCAAGUUGAGCAAAGGCCGAGAAGUUGGGUAAACCUUACCAUUUAGAGGAAGGUGAAGUCGUAACA
This 325-nucleotide ribosomal RNA is filed under the name uncultured eukaryote. Its description in RNAcentral is "partial 18S ribosomal RNA". It matches the Rfam family "Eukaryotic small subunit ribosomal RNA", at positions 1470 to 1796 of the family's 1831-position model. The record is from RNAcentral.